GUUUCUAGAAGAAAGCACAGAAAAGCUCAGCAGCAGCUGUUGGCUCUGAGCAGAGCCCACACUGCUGGAAUGUGCAGUGGGUUUCUGUGGUCUCCAGGCUGUGUUGGCCCACAGGGCUUUCCUGGCUGUUCACAUAUGCGUGUGCUGCUGUACAGCCAGUUAGUGUGAUAACAUGUCCUGAAGUACAUUCCUGCAUCCAAACUUAAGGAGCAUUUGGUUGUAAAUGACAGUAUUUACAGGUGGGUGGCCCAGGUGUCUACAAAGACAAUGUGGCAGGUGGGAAAGGUAAUGGAAGUGAUGGAGGAGACUGUGGCAGGGGAAGGGAAAAGUUAGGCUUAUCACUCAUUCUAUUUCUUCUCCUACCAUAGCCAUCAAAGUGAAGGUUGAAUUUUAACCUCAAGAUGUGACUAAAAUGCUCCUUGCUGGGAGCUGGUGGAUUUUGCAUUCUUUCCCAAGGUGAGAGCUGUCACCAGAUGACAAAUACCACAGCCCCAACAGCAUCUUCAAAACAGAUUUUUCCUUUGAAAUGCGUCAGCAUGGAACAGCUUAUUUGUGGUGGUCCAGUUUUGCUUCCCACAGCAGAUCCAGCAGGAUAAGCACUCCAGCUGCAGCUGCUCAUUCCACAGGAGCUUGACAGCUCUAUGAACCAAGCCAGCCACAGCAGCACAUCAGCCAGCAGUGGGUAAAAGACAGUGCUUACACCUAAAAGAGCAAUUUGAAAUCAAUGCUGAUUAAUUGCAGGGGUCAUCCAAUCAGGGAGGAUGCAAUUUAGAGAAGACUAAUGGUCUUGGGGUUAAGGAACUUGCUGCCUUCUCAGGUGAUUUCAGUUUAAUUAUUGCUUCAGUUCUCGACUUCCUAAUUAAGUCAAUUAAUCUCUCCUGUUCUGUGAACUUCAUCUCUAGAAGAGGCUAAUUGCAGCUGACUCUUUUGCCUUUUUAGUUUUUCAGUUCUUUGUGGUAAGAAUUAAUUGUUCCUGUUUUAUUUUUAUCCUUGCUGGGAUGUAGACCUCUGUACCGGUUAAGAUAAGCCAUAAUAUAGGACUAAUUUUUAUUUGCUGGGAGACAUUCACCAAAGUUGCCAGAGUGGAGAAAAAUGGACAUCUCUAUAGGCCAGGUCUCACAGGUCUUAAAUUCGGUUAUUGCUUUAGAUGAAAAACUUGGAUGUUCAUGCAGAGUGUUCAGCAUAAGCCUGACAGAUGUGCAGCCCUGACCUAUACACCAGGUAGUUCAAGGUGUCCCUGCACAGUGCUGUGUUCCUGGAGGAGCUAGCUGUCCAGGGCUGAUUAUAAAAGUAAUUACAUUAUGGUUGCCAGUGCUGACCCUCUCUGACUGUCAGGCACUGAAAACUGAUGGACAAGAAUUACAGUCAACCAAAUGCAUACAGAAAAGUUGUGAAUUUCUGAAUUCUUUUGCAGAUAUCUGAGAAAAGAGGCAAAAGUUGCCAGGCAAGAAAUCUAUCAUCUAAAAAAGAGCAAACCCAAAAUUGUUUGAUGAACUUUUACAGAAACCUACGAGGACUUUCAGGGAGCUGGCCAGGAGCAAGCCUAAAGUGUUCCUUCCAGUGUGUUCACGAGUGCAAGCACCGGUCUCUGACUCCAACAGACUUUUGAAUCUCUGGAGCAAGAAAGUCUCCCUUGUAGAUCAAAGUCAAAACUGCUCAAAAAUGAUUGUUUUUUCACAUCUCCUCAGCUCCGACCUGAAGAGUUGUUUAAGGGUGGUGAGUUGUCAGUCUCAAAUAAGAGAGGGGUACAGACCUAUUUUAAGGUGUGUGAACAGUCUAGAGAAGUGAUAAUGAUCAUGGUGCCUGGGACACCUGGGAAGUGAAUCAAUUGCCCAGCAAGGUUCUUUGAGCAAGAGUUCCCUUCUAGUUCAUACUCCAGGACUUCCUGAUCUCAGUACAUUACCCAGUGCCCUAGGAUGACUCAUAGAGUUGUCUGUAUUGGGGUGAUCACCAGUACUGCAGCAGAACCUUGCAGAAAUCGUUUGCUGAGUGGAUCCUUUCCUAUUUACUCCAUGAGAAAGUGGUAGCCUAAGCCAGGCAUGUAAGAGGCUCCAGUAAGCAGCUUUGCAGUCUGAGAACUGUAUACAAGGUUUUCUCAAUUUUUGCUUCAUUUUUUAUUUCCUCUCUCUCGUACAGACUGUAUUGCUGAGUGAGUUUUGCAGUUCUCUAUAGAAGUGAUGAACUGUUGUCUUCUGGAACUGGAAAAAAUGUGAUAAAAGCAUCAGUCCAAAAUGCUGCCUCUUAUUUUCUCUUUUCCUUUUUAAAUGUUAGUCACUGCAGAAGUCAGCAGUUUUUCUACCAGCUUCUCUCAGUAAUGCUAAACAUUUCUGAUGGAUGCAUGAGGUGACUCCUAGACAACUGUGCUGUAUUUCUAAUGCACUCGGGGAGGAUGAAUCAAGACACAAAGAGGGUCUAUCUGGAACAGGAAGAGAACUUGUGAAGCUGACUCAGGGCAGCAUUGAUUGUCUUUAGGCUCUGUCCAGCAGAGCAAAAAUUCCCAUCAGUUCUGUGCCAAAGCUGUUUUCCCCUUAUAUCUCACCAUGUCAUGUUACCACUCUGCAUAGUGAUGAAACUGCAGUGUCAUUAUGUGUGAUGUCAGUCUCUGUGUAGGUAUAGUUUAAUAAUUUGACUGUAACAAAGUCAAAUGAUUCAACUGCCCCAUCUCUUCCAUCUCCCCCAUCUCCCAAGACGAGUUAUCCCAAUGAUUUGGGCUAAUGGAAAGCUGCCAAUGAAACAGAUUACUAUUAUGUGAUUUUUUUCAGAUUUGCCUCAUUAGAAGUUCAAACCUAGCAAGGAAUCAUUCCCUAAAACAUAUUUUCAGUGUAAUACGUAAUGGUUUUGGCUCCAAUGAGGUUUGAUCCAAAGCCUCUCAAAAUUAUUGGAAAAGCUUCCAUAAUAAUGGAAGCCUUAAGAAUCUGAAUUUGAAGGGUGUGAUGCCAACCUUGUCCGUCGUAUUUUUAUAUCUGCUACUCUCUGAAGACCUUGUUUUGACAUUCAGCUUUGAUCUUGCCUGAAGUGGUCAGCUACACCAGCAGAAAAACAGAACCUUUUCUGAUUUCAUCCAUGGAGUAAAUAAGAGGUGAUAAAAAGUAUAAAUUCUGACUUCUCUGACCCCAUUACCCCUGAGGAUAGCUGCCUCAGCAGUCAUGUGGAUGACUUUAAGGUUUCUCUAUGAUUUCUUAUUUAUUUUUCUGAAAUAUGAUUUUAAGGUGAUGCAGAAAUAAACUGUGAACAGAUAAAAACUUUCACAAAUUCCACAUACAUUCCCUGCUUCUGAAAACUGUGUCACUACGCACUGCUGGCAUACCUGGGGGAGACUGGAAAUGCAUUGCUUUACUCCUCUUAUCACAGGUGUCGUUAAUGCCUUUGUAAAGGCAUUUUCUGUGGAGGCUCUUUGAUUCUUGUUAUGUCUACGCUUCUUCAGAUCUCAGUGCUUUCAGUGAGGAAAUAGUUUGCUAAAUAUUUUGUAAGUUUUGACUUCAGCAAAAUUGAAUAAUAUUUUUCCUCUUCUUAGCCCAAUACCACUUUGCAUCUUCAUCAUCAAGUGGAACAAAUGAGUCUUUUGGAGGGAGUGAGAGUAUCUGCAGUGAUGUCUCUAAUGUCUCUUGUGGGUGUCUUUCAUCACCUAUGUUAAUGUGUCCUUGCUUAUGUUUCCUUUUCUGGUUCCCU
This is a long non-coding RNA of Poecile atricapillus (Black-capped chickadee), 3669 nucleotides long. RefSeq lists it as uncharacterized. NCBI's taxonomy places the organism in Eukaryota, Metazoa, Chordata, Aves, Passeriformes, Paridae. The transcript is spliced from 3 exons. The record is from RefSeq and is a predicted model, not a curated record.